AUAAAGUCGAGAACGAUCAAGUGUAGUAUCUGUUCUUUCAAGUAGCAUCGGGGUGUCUGUCUGUCAUUGAAUCUUUGGACCACGACGGAGUCGCUCGGGGCUUGCUCCGAGAUCUGUCGCGGAUGUAGCUCGUAUUGCACUGUCUCGAGCUGACGUUCAUUGAAC
RNAcentral lists this small nuclear RNA (165 nucleotides) under Gonapodya prolifera JEL478. Its description in RNAcentral is "U2 spliceosomal RNA". It matches the Rfam family "U2 spliceosomal RNA". From Rfam's summary of the family: U2 is a small nuclear RNA (snRNA) component of the spliceosome (involved in pre-mRNA splicing). Complementary binding between U2 snRNA (in an area lying towards the 5' end but 3' to hairpin I) and the branchpoint sequence (BPS) of the intron results the bulging out of an unpaired adenosine, on the BPS, which initiates a nucleophilic attack at the intronic 5' splice site, thus starting the first of two transesterification reactions that mediate splicing. The record is from Rfam by way of RNAcentral. Lineage: Eukaryota; Fungi; Monoblepharomycota; Monoblepharidomycetes; Monoblepharidales; Gonapodyaceae.